RNAcentral lists this long non-coding RNA (1671 nucleotides) under Mytilus galloprovincialis (Mediterranean mussel). Lineage: Eukaryota; Metazoa; Mollusca; Bivalvia; Mytilida; Mytilidae. The record is from RNAcentral.
GUUGUACGUCGCAGCAAUACCCAUGGCUUGGUUUAUUCACGCAUGGAUUGUCCUAGACAUUAAAAGAUGGCGGUGGUAGUGAAAACAUGUAUUAAACUUAAAUGUAAGUUGCAAAAUUAUUCAGUGUUAUUGAUUAUACUUGAAAGGGGCAUUAUGUACCAUAUAUGUAAUAAAAUAAAUACAUGUACGAAAAUCAAAUACAUAUUAUCAAGUCCAUGCAUCGUAAACUGUUUGUUAAAGACUUUUAAUACGACCGCAACAUUUUUUAGUUAUAUUGCUAUCAUGUCGUUGUCCGAGACACAUUUGGUUUCCAAACAAUAACUUAAGUUUAUGUGAAUGGAUCGCUUUAAAAUUUUACCAGAUGGUUCAAUACUACAAAAGAAAGGUAGGGAUUAAGUUUGGGGGUAAUACAUUUAGGAAGUCGGGGGCCAAAAAAUGACCAAAUACAUGCAAGAAUUAUAUUUCAGUUUUCAGACAAAAGCUUGUGUUAAAGUGUAUGGAUCGCAUUGAAAUUGUAAUACAAGAUAUCAUACCUUAAAGGAGUAGGCUGGGAUUUACUUAAGGGUAAUUUCUCCAAAGGGGGGAGGUAAACAAAAAGGGGCUCAAUUUUUUUUUCGAUUAUACAAUUGUUUGUGUUUUAUGUGUAAUUUUGUCUGUUUUUUUUUUAUCAGAGUGAGCAUUGGGACAAGUUGCGCUAGAGACUGUAUCUAAUUCGGAAUAUUCUCAUUGCACAAAAACUUUACAAAUAGAUAUAGGAAGAUGUGGUGUGAGUGCCAAUGAGACAGCUCUCCAUCCAAAUAAUAAUUUAUAAAAGUAAACCAUUAUAGGUCAAUGUACGCCCUUCAACACGGAGCCUUGGCUCACACCAAACAAUAAGCUAUAAAGGGCCCCAAAUUACUAGUGUAAACCCAUUCAAACGGGAAAACCAACGGUCUCAUCUAUAUAACAAACAUGUUACUAUAUCCUUUACGCACCUGCCCCAGGUGACUUCUGCAUUUUGAUAACUGCUUAACAAUCUUGUUCAUGAGCACUAUCCUCGAGAAGGAUACUAUAAUAACUCUUUUUGAUUUUUAUUUAUGCAUGUUGUGAUUAAAAGUGCUAGAAUAUAAAUAAAAGCUAUUUUAUAAAGAAUGUAAUGCUGCUUCUGGUGCAUGGUCAAGAAACACUAAACAUUACGGGUUAUAUGACUACAUAUAUUAUUAACUCAUGUAUAUUUCACGUUAUGGGUUUUUUUUGUUUGUAUUAUCUAUAUUGUAUUUUUUAAUAUGAAUAUCACUGUACUGAUUAUGCCCAUUAUGGGUCCUCUAUAGGAAAUAAAAUUGAUCUUAUCUUACAUGCUGAUUUUUUUUUUUUUUUACAUUAAUCAAUAAUAUUUGUUUACAUUUUUCCAGGUGACUGAUGGCUAAAGAGUUCAAGUGUGUGGUUUGUGGUAGAUGUCAUCUAAAAUCCAGACGUAAGAUAACAACUAAAGCACUGAAACAGUUUGUAAGAAAAAGAAUUGAGCGAAACCUUGAAGAAAAUGAUGUGAUAUGUGAGAAGUGUAGAUCAAUAUACAGGAAAACACUAAAAAAAGUAAACAAUGAACAGAAAGUUUCAAACUGUCUUUCCGAGUGUAUUACAGAUGACAGUGACUCUGAGUUUGUUAUAAAUACAGAAGAAGCCGUAUCCACG